GUUUGAUCCUGGCUCAGAGCGAACGUUAGCGGCGCGCCUAACACAUGCAAGUCGCACGAGAAACGGAGCAAUCCGCGGUACAGUGGCGCACGGGUGAGUAACACGUGGAUGACCUUCCCUGGAGUGGUGGAUAACCUGCCGAAAGGCGGGCUAAUACAGCAUGGGACCACGACGCUUUGGCGAUGUGGUGAAAGCGGGCCUCUAUAUAUAAGCUCGCGCUCCGGGACGGGUCCGCGUCCCAUCAGCUAGUUGGUGAGGUAACGGCUCACCAAGGCAACGACGGGUAGCUGGUCUGAGAGGAUGGCCAGCCACACUGGAACUGAGACACGGUCCAGACUCCUACGGGAGGCAGCAGUGGGGAAUCUUGCGCAAUGGGCGAAAGCCUGACGCAGCGACGCCGCGU
Molecule: ribosomal RNA, 403 nt
Filed under: uncultured bacterium
Lineage: Bacteria
Description: bacterial SSU rRNA
Rfam family: Bacterial small subunit ribosomal RNA
Source: RNAcentral